UCAAUUAUAUCAAAGGUGAGUAUACGGUUUCAAAGGACUCCCAUAUGGUGAGCCAACCAAAAAUUACAAAUAUUUAGCUCACCCCUGUUAUUUAGAAGCACGUUUGAGGUGUUCAGAUCCCUAUGAAGCACCCAGUUGUCAUGAAGAUACUUCACACCUUCUAGAGGGCUGGAUCAUUAAGCACUUCACUUCACUUUGGCUAAAUGCAGUAGGUCUCGGAAGAGUUCAGACAGUAUGUCUUGCAUCUGUUGGAGAAACCUACACUCAGGCCAGCUUCCAUGAAGCUGCUCUAAAGGUACUGCGACCGACUCUA
This is a non-coding RNA of Cicer arietinum (chickpea), 313 nucleotides long. The record is from RefSeq and is a predicted model, not a curated record. Lineage: Eukaryota; Viridiplantae; Streptophyta; Magnoliopsida; Fabales; Fabaceae.